Molecule: long non-coding RNA, 280 nt
Filed under: Trifolium pratense (red clover)
Lineage: Eukaryota; Viridiplantae; Streptophyta; Magnoliopsida; Fabales; Fabaceae
Description: long non-coding RNA (TPRA_LNC004360)
Source: RNAcentral
UGGUAAUAAUACUCAACAUCAGUCUGGAGAGGCGGUGAUAAGAAUACUCGGGUUACGUCUGAAACAACAACUUAUUAUGAUGCGAAGGUGCUAGUGGAAGUUGGGAAUCGGUGGAGUGUUGAGUCAUGGACUUUGGAAGCUCCUAUCACAUGUGUUUGAAGAAGAAAUACUUUUGAAUCCCUAGAGCUAGUUGAAGGUGGAGUUGUUCAUCUAAUCAUCUCGGUGACGGAAAGCUUGUAAGGUUCAAGGUAUGGGUGAGUUUCUUUUAACAUAAUGCGAG